Molecule: transfer RNA, 71 nt
Filed under: Marmota marmota marmota (Alpine marmot)
Lineage: Eukaryota; Metazoa; Chordata; Mammalia; Rodentia; Sciuridae
Also listed under: 2 other names
Rfam family: tRNA
About the family: Transfer RNA (tRNA) molecules are approximately 80 nucleotides in length. Their secondary structure includes four short double-helical elements and three loops (D, anti-codon, and T loops).
Source: Rfam by way of RNAcentral
GGGGUUGUAGCUCAGUGGUGGAGCGUUUGCCUCACACGUGUGAGGCACUGGGUUCGAUCCUCAGCACCCCA